GAGCUCACCUUGCCCAUCUGUGGAGUGGGCAGGCGGCAGUGGUGAAGGUCGUGGGGCCAGGGCGCGGGCUCGAGGCUGCUGCUGGUCACACAGCCUUCCGCACCGACAGCAGGGCGGGACGCCUACCGCCCACCCGCUCAGCUCGCAGGCUCCCUCUCCUUCGGCCUGUGCAGGGCAGGCCGCUGCGGUCCGGCUUGGUCCUGAGCGCCGAGAUACACCCAAUGUGGCCCCAAGAAAGGCAGAGACAAGCACCGCGGGAGCCUGAGGCCACGUCUCCCUGCAGGGCCAGGGGGCAAGCCCCAUCCCAGGAGUGGAAGAGAGGAGGGGGCCGGGAGGCCCUGGUGGAUGCGACGCAGAAGCAGGCCACGACCGACCGUGCUGCUGCCCUUUGCUGUGGUCCCGCUUUCCUCCGGGAUGUCCCGAGUGGCUUCACUGGAAGUCAUCCUCCUGGAGGACCUGGAGGAGGGAAGCACUGGGCCUCAGGACCUCCAAGCCAAUCAUCUGAGCCUGGGGCUCUCAGGGCUGAGAAAAGACCGGGGUUUUGGGUGUGUGUGCAUGUGUGCCUGUGUGUGUGUGUGUGCCUCUGUGUGUGUGUGCCUCCGUGUGUGUGUAGGCGUGUGUGCCUCCGUGUGUAUCUGUGUGUGUGUGUCUGCAGACCUCAGAGAGGGAGGCUUCACCCUGCGGCCGGAGGAGGUGGUGAACUCAGGGUGCGUCCCCGCCGAGCCUCUCGUGUCCUGCCGCCGCCGCGCGAGGGGCCUGCCUCGGCUACUCCCAGGCGCACAGGGGCCUGAGCCGGCGGGCGCCGAGAACCUGGGCCCAGGGACGGCCUGGACCCCACCGACACUGGCCCAGGAGCGCAGCCUCAGUCUCACUGCCGGGUCGGUUCUGCCCAAGGUCACCGCGCGCCGCUCGGAUUCCCCGCCUCCCGCGCCCCCCGCCUCGUCUCCGAGUCGAGUCUCGGCCUCUCGCCGCCCCCUUUCCCGGAGCCGCUCUCGGGGCUCC
Long non-coding RNA from Bos taurus (domestic cattle), 1002 nucleotides. NCBI's taxonomy places the organism in Eukaryota, Metazoa, Chordata, Mammalia, Artiodactyla, Bovidae. The record is from Ensembl.